Molecule: long non-coding RNA, 248 nt
Organism: Anopheles stephensi (Asian malaria mosquito)
Lineage: Eukaryota; Metazoa; Arthropoda; Insecta; Diptera; Culicidae
Exons: 2
Source: RefSeq, a predicted model, not a curated record
GCAGCAUUCUCUUCAUACACUGUUCACGGGUUUCCUUUUACGAAUCACAAAAAAAAAAACGUUAGGAGUAGACCAUCGCGUGCACGUGGCCUGUCCUUCUGUGUUUGUUCCAGCGGAGCAGUUUAGUUUUUAUUCUUUACACCUCGCUUUCGUGUGCUCUGUAGUAUUUCAACUGUAUCUCUUACGGCUCCCUCUUGUCUUGGAAUUGUCGUAGCGAAAGUUUGUUGUUCGUUAUGUACAAAACGUAU